This 256-nucleotide long non-coding RNA is filed under the name Homo sapiens (human). RNAcentral's name for it is "non-protein coding lnc-GGCT-1:89". Lineage: Eukaryota; Metazoa; Chordata; Mammalia; Primates; Hominidae. The record is from RNAcentral.
GUAGCUGCUGCACGUUAUGAGUGUGUUCCUGGCAUGACUGCUUCUAACAAAGAAAUGCUGAGGCAGUGUCACGCUGGUGUCUGUCCUCCUUACAGAAUGCCUGAACAGUUCCAUUGACUCAAAGUGAAGAUCAAAAGAACCAAAUGACAGCAAUAGCCAAGUGUAAUCAUCAGUAACCCUGUGUUCUAUCCACAGGUCUUCAUUUAGCUACUGAAAAGAUUUGAUCUCAAAUCAAUGAUCUAACCACCCAUGACCA